UACGUAGGGUGCGAGCGUUAAUCGGAUUUACUGGGCGUAAAGGGGGCGUAGGCGGCCCGGCAAGUCAAGUGUGAAAUCCGGCGGCUCAACCGCUGGGCUGCGCUUGAAACUGCCGGGCUUGAGUGCAGCAGAGGGAGACGGAAUUGCCGGUGUAGGGGUGAAAUCCGUAGAGAUCAGGAGGAACACCGAUGGCGAAGGCAGCCCCCUGGGCCUGUACUGACGCUCAUGCACGAAAGCGUGGGGAGCAAACAGG
This 253-nucleotide ribosomal RNA is filed under the name uncultured microorganism. RNAcentral's name for it is "partial 16S ribosomal RNA". It matches the Rfam family "Bacterial small subunit ribosomal RNA", at positions 524 to 776 of the family's 1533-position model. The record is from RNAcentral.